This 10658-nucleotide long non-coding RNA is filed under the name Homo sapiens (human). RNAcentral describes it as "non-protein coding lnc-IL16-12:1". Lineage: Eukaryota; Metazoa; Chordata; Mammalia; Primates; Hominidae. The record is from RNAcentral.
AGUUUGGCCUGCAAACAAAUUUAGUUCAUUUCAGUAGGAGGUAACAAAGCUUUCUGUACCUGCCUUCUUCUGGUGUAGUUCUUGUUUGCACUUUAUUUCUCUGCAAUGUCAUGGGGGGAAGCCAGGUAAUAAAUAGAGACAGAUAGUAAACAGACUCCUAAGUAUUUAAUGGGGUUGGUCGGAUUUACGGCUCCAGUGUCGUAACACAGAAUUACCCAAUUCCUUCAGCUGCUUAGUAAGUUUCACAUUAUCACACAAAUCAAGGGUGACUCUCUUAAAGUUGUGGUGAUCAUCUGAAUGCUUUUCUUCAUUAGAUGUCAAAGUAGGAGAAAGACAACUAUUUUGGAAGGUUCUCAGACGUGAAACACUGGAAGAUAUCUGUGAAUCUACCUCCCACUCUCUAUCACCAUGCCCAGGAAUGUAUUUCCUUUGUUAUAUUGACACUGGCAACUCCCAGAUCUGAUUGCCUUGAUGUAGCCUGGAGCUACGAGAGGUCCUUAGAAUCUGUUCUUGCCAGUGGCCCCUUUGCAGAAUUAAUAAAAAAUCUUAUGCACAGUAAUAGCAAAGCUUUGCUCCCUCUACUUGACUUUUGGGAAAGCUUGGCUCAUUGGUAAACAUGUAAUGUUCUUUAUAUUAAAACAGAGUUCUGAUACUCUCAGAGUUGGGGCAAAUUGUUAGCCUUUCACCAAAACUUGAAAGGCUUUCUACGUUAAGAUCCAAGCUCCUGCCUUAUAAAUAUUCUGAAUUACAGUCAAUUUUGGAAUACUCUUGUGGCAGAGAAAGUAACAUGCACCAAAUAGUCCAGGCUUGUGUUGAGUUAGAGCCAUGCGACAAGUUCUGGCCAAUAAUAUAUGUGUGCGAGUGAUACAUGCCCCUUCUGACAGAAGCAGUGAAAAAUUUAUGAACAAUAUUUUAGUUUUCUUUCCUCUACUAUGGCAACUUAAGUUGUGUGAGCCAGAUAAUGGAGUUUCAGGAUGAUGGUUCCUACUCAGCCUGGGUCCCUGAGUGACUGUAUGGAAUAAAGCUCUGCCGACACUUGUUAGACAUGACCAUGUGUAACAAAUAAGCCUUUGUUAAGCCACUGACCAUUUGGAGUAAUCUGUUACAACUGCAGAACAGAGCAUAUCCUGAUUAACAGAAUUCCUACUUCCCAAAUUUCUGCUUCCUUUCCUGGCUGCAUAAUUUGUCCAAGCUGUCUGUCAUCUACAUACUCCUUUACCCUAUUUAUGGCUUAUACUAUCUCAUCUGACCUUCAUGGUCUAUCCUAAACGUCAUCUCCUUCCCAAGGAUCUCCGGUUUCCAGUUGGAUGGGAUACCCUCCUCUUCUCUGCUAAUAGAAAGAGUAGUAUACCUCUCUUAAGGCAAUCAUCUCAUUUGCUUCUCUUCCUCAUCCAUUUAACUUAGAGCUCCUGGAAGGUGAAGACCAUGUUUGAUUCACCCAAACACCCCAAGGCCCCAGCUGAACAUUUUGUGGUAGCUACAGGUGGAUAUUAUUUAGUUUGAAUUGAGUUUUCUCCUGAGGUUAGCAAUGCGUAGGCCAAUGUAGACAGCAAUGUGAAAUGAUUUUAAAUAAGUUAUCUGCCUGAAACAUAGCAACAGGGAGAGAAGAAAACAAAAAAAAAAACCCUUUACAUGAGUAAGUGUAAUUCUCAGAAAAUAAGAGAAAUAGCAUAUCAGAAAAAGACAUAGGAAGCAAAAGUGAUGCUUGCUGAAGAACAUCAGAAUGGGAAUUAGGAAACAAACUUCUAGAUUUGACUCCUUUGAAAACUAAUUCUGUGAUCUCUCUGGAACUCAGGUUCUUCAUCUUGUACGUGGGAUCAGAGGCUGGACGAUAAAUUAAUUAAGGUAUUUCAUUCUGGAAUUUUACUUACAGAAACCCCAGGUGCUGAGAUGUUUUCCAGGACUAGGAUGAAGUCUCCAUCUUGUGGCUAAAUUAAGUUCUGCAGUCACUCAACAUUAUGAACGUCAAGAUCCAAGUCAAUUUAGUGGAGCAGCGUAGAUUAGGUCAAUAGCUUCUGUGAGAAACAGAAACACAUCUUCUUAAUGCAAAUGCAGCAGGACAGGUUCAUUCGCAGCCAUUUGGAAAGGAAUUUAAACUUGGACAACGAACUGUGCAAAUAUAUUUAUUCAUUCUUUUACUAAAGAGAGGGCCUGUCUUAUCUUUUCCAGACUUGCAUUCCUUGGCUUGUGGCCCCUUCCUCCUUCUUCAAAGCCAGCAAUGUAGCAUCUUGCUUCAGCCCUCACAUUGCCUCAUUCUUAUCUGUCAAAUCUCUCUCUGCCUCACUCUUAUAAGGACACCUAGGUGAUCCAGAAUACUCCCAUCUCAAGAAUUUUUAAUUUAAUCACUUUUACCAUAUAACAUCCGCAGUUUCCAGAGAUUAGGAUCUGGAUAUCUUUGGAGACCAUUAUUAGUCUACCACUGGGAGAAAGUGAAGGGGGCUGGGGAAAGUGUUUCCAGGAACACAGUAGUCUGUCCAGCGCCCCUUCCACCACUAUCAUUGGUGAGAUCGUUGGUAGCAGCUGUGAGGUGUGAUAGAGACUGACUUUUCUCCAGUUCCAGGGGCUCCAACUGGCAAAAGCUCAUAACUGUUAUCAUCCCCCUGACUUCAGUGAUCUGCUCAGGAAAGGGCACUUGAACAAAUUCAGACCAGCUCAGGAGCCUCUACCCUCCACCCCCGUAGUUGUGGAAAAAGUUUUCAUAUCAGCUAUUCUGGAGGUAGCAAAAAGAAGGCCAAAAGAUUACAGCCCUUUUUGUUUGUUUGUUUGCUUGUAAGCCUUGUGGUUCUAUUUGACUUUUUAAAUUAUGCGCAUGAAUUACUUGGAGACAUUUUUUAAAUUGAAGUGGAAAAAAUAAUUUAAAAGGGAAAACUAACUAAAGUAAUAUAAUUUCAGAGUAUUGAUUAUUGUCCAGAAUAUGCUUUGUUUUAUUAUUUUGCUAAUAAAAUUAAAUUCACUGUACAUUGUUCCAGAAGUAUGUUGACUCUAAGGAAAAUGUUUUAAAUGGAAUAGCCUGAGGAUAUCAUUGUGGGGAAGUAUUGGAUGUCCUUGAUCUUUUCUGUUCAUUGUAGAUGUUUUCUAGAAGACAGCACAUCUUAAAGAUAUUUCAGGCUUCUUAUGAAGGAAACAGUAAACCUUUUACAAACUAUAUUUUCCAAUUUUCUUGUCUUUUCUUGAAGUACCACUGUACAACUCUUGUUGGAGAGCUACUGUAAUUAUUUGUGACAUGUUUUUCUUUGGCCAAUUCUCUAUGGCUUCUACUCAGUACAGCCACCUCAUAAGAACAUGAGAUCACCCUCUCUGCACGUGGCUUUUGGAAGCUGCCAUAACUUCAUGGGUUCAAAGCUGGGUUCUCUUGGGACCUGCUUCCAUGCAAUGGCAGUCAGUUCAUCAUCUGCUGUGGUUCAUUCCCUCAGCUUUUGACUCGGUCCUGGGUGUGCCUGAAAGAGAACCCUCUUCCCUCAUUGCUGUCCUGAAAAACAAAACCCUCUUCUAGUUCUCACUAGAAGAGUGACAUAUUGUUUUGGGGGAGGAAAGUAGUGUCUCCAUGUGUCACCUCGUUUCUCUCCAGGCACACAGUGCUCCAAGGUAAGGGAUGCUUACAAGCUAUAUGACAAUGAAUGCACAAAUUAUUCAAAGUGAAAGGGUUUUAAAGAUCAGUGAGUUCAAUGUCUCCUCAAAUGCGAAAAUGCCUGUCAGAAACUCCCUGACACAUCAUCAUCUUGCAUCAGAUACAGUAUUUCCAGUUAUAGGAAAGUCAUGACUGAAAUGCAUGGAAUCAGAUUUUUCAGAUUGAGAGGUCUAAAGUAGUAUUUCUCAAUGUGAUGUCAGUGGAACACUUGCAGCAGGGUCACCUGGGAUGUUCAUUUAGGAUUCAGAUCCUUGGGCCCUGUCACCUACUGAACCAUGCUGUCCAGGGAUAAAAUCCAAGCAUAUGCCUAGAAGAAAGACUUAUUAACUACACUGAAGAUUGAGAUUAAUUGUACUAGACUAACUCUCCUAUACAAUUCUCAAAAAACCUUGACAUCUAUUUGUUGAAUGUUAUGGCUUCUCCCUAGAAAAAGCCAGAUGUGUGCCUAAGUUGCCUGCUCCCCCACCCCCUGACAUUAUCAUAUAUUUAAUUAGAAAAGUCAAUGCCAUUGACUUUUUAAAGCCAAGGGCCUCCUAGAAUUAUGUUUUGCAAAAUGUGCUAUACACAUUGCUUAUGGUAUAUCAAGUAGUCCACAUAUGGUUAGGCAGUUUUGGAGAUAAAAAUGAUGAAACAAUCCUAUUUACACAUGUUUUAUAAAUUUGAAAUGUAAUAUUAAUUAUACUUUUUAAAUUCCACUGCAUUUUAAUGAUUAUAUCAUAAAAGUUGUAAAUGUGCUCCAAGAACUGCGUUGGUAAAUUUGUUUCAGCUGUCAUUCAGCUAACAGAGUCUUGUGAAAAUUUUCCAAUGUCACUUGUAUUCUAUUAGUUGUGAUUCUUGUUCUUAAAUUGCUGCGUGGAAACUAAUCUAUGGUGACAAUAAUCAGGGCUUGGGAAGGCUUGAUUGUAAACAGGCUCAUGACCCUGGGAACUUUUGGGGAUGCAGCAAUUAUUUUCUUAUAUUGAUUAUGUUGGUAGUUCCAUGGAUGUAGCUUGCCAAAACUCAUUAAACGAUACACUUCGAAUGAAUGCAUUUUAUCAUAUGUAAGUGAGACCUUGGUAAAGUUGAUUUUAAAAUGUGAAGUGUUGGCUGGGCGCAGUGGCUCAUGCCUGUAAUCCCAGCACUUUGGGAGACGGGGGGUGGGGGCGGGGGUGGAUCACGAGGUCAAGAGAUCGAGACCAUCCGAGAAACUCCGUCUCAAAACAAAACAAAACAAAACAAAACAAAAACAAUAAGACGUGAAGUGUUAUAAUACCAAUUUACAAGAAAGCAUAUCAAAAAUGACUCAUUGAAGCAGGUGGUUAGUGAUUAAAAAUUUAAUGAAUAUACUACAAAUCAGAAAAAUACACUAGAUGUAAAUAAUAAAUAGAGCACCUGUGAAGACAGAGGUUGAUCUGUAUAUGCUGAGAGAAAUGAAGAUACAAGAGAAAUGAUGUCACCAGCUGAAAUGCUGUCACAUUGUUGUCUUCAUUCUUUUAGAAGAACUAAAGAAAUAAAAGAAUGAGCAUCUGAAAAUUAGAUUGUAUUGAUAAACAUUGAUCCAUUCACCCACCAGUCCCAUUGUGUUCUGUUACAAAGUUUUUCAAAAUGGCAUUGUGAAAUCUUUCAAGGGUUUGUGAAAAAUAAGGUAUAGCAUCUCUUUGGUGAGCCAAAUGAGUUUUUCUAAAAUAAGCUUGGUAAUUUUCACCCUAAAGUUGAUGUAUUUUAGUGUAAAAAAUGAAGAGGUAGUGAAGUGUAAUGGAGGGUGGGAGCCAGGCUCCUCACUGUUGGAGUGGGAAGUUACAGACGAGCAAAGGGAGGAGGCUAGAAUAAUCCAUGGGUAAUUGAUUAGAGUGGGAGACAUCUGUAUAAACUCAUAUUUAGCUUAAUAUAUAAAUAGUACAUGAAUAUUUAUAGAUGUAUCUGUACAUGGGUUAUAUAGAUACGUGUAUACAUGUAUUUCUCUAUUUUGUCAGCUGAGAGGAACUAGAGGUAAUAAAUGACACCCAAGUAGUAGCAAGUAAAGUUAGAACUCAGAUCCUGGUUUCUAAUACCAUUCUCUGAUAGAAGGAAUGAGGGCUCCUUGGAGCAAUGGAUGAUUCUAAGGAUGGAGGAGAAACAUCUUGCAAUGCUAGUAAUAAGGAAAUGCACAGAAAAACUGACACUGAUGGGCCUAUGCCAAGGAUACAGGAACUGACAGAAAGCUCCCAAUGGCCAAAGGCAGAACAAGCUGUGCAACAAAAUAAACAAAGUGGUACUGAAUUAUAACCCAAUAUAUAAAAUAAAUAUUGAUGGGUCUACACUGAUAUAAACAAAAUGACUGCAUAAAUAAAUAAAUGGAGAAGAAUAGCCAAAUCUCCAGUGCAGAAGAAUUUCAAAUAAUUUAUGCAGAUACUGUGAGGGUUAAUUUUGUGUGCUAACUUGGAGGAUGUUUUCAGAUGUGAUUAGCAUUUAAAUGGGUGCACUUUGAGUAAAGCAGAUUGUCCUCCAUUAUAUGGGUGGGUCUCAUCCAAUUAGUCGAACCAUGAAUCAAACCAAAAGACUGCCCUCCCCAAGCAGGAAGGAAUUCUUCAGUGGACUGCCUUUGGACUUCAUCUAUAUUCUUGGCUUACCUGAGUCUUGAGCCUGACAACCCACACUGCAGAUUUUUGACUUCCUGGCCUCCAGAAUUGCAUGAGCCAAUUCCUUAUAAUAAAUCCUUCUCUCCACAUAUACACACACAUACAUCCUAUUGGUUCCGAUUCUCUAUAGAACCCUGACUAAUACAGAUAAUUUGCAUUCAAGAAAAGUGAGCAUGAUUCGCAUUCCUUACGUGUGGGCUGCAUAUACUGACUUCCUUCCAAAGAGUACAGUGUGGAAAAUAGAGGGAGAAGAGUAACUUUACAGUGGAGAAGACUGGCAAACUACCUCAGCCAGGUGACCAAGGUCAACAUCAACAAUGACCAGUCAUGUUGAUGGUAUGUAUCCUUGAUAUCAUGAAAAUGGCACUGUACCUGUGAUCCUCCUCUCCUACCCCAUAAUCCCAGUCUAAUGAGAAAAACAUUAGACAAAUACAAAUUGAUGAAUAUUCUACAAAAAUACCUGACCAACACUCCUCAAAAGUGUCAAGGUAAUCAAAACCGAGGAAACUCAGAGACUUUCAAGGCCAAGAGGAGUCGAAGGAAACAGGACAAUUAAAUGUAGUAUGGUAUCCUGAAUAAGAUCUUGGGAGAGAAAAAGGACAUUAGGUAUAAACUAAAGCAAUCUAAAUGAAGUAUGGACUUUGGUUAAUGACAAUGUAUCUAUAUUGGUUCAUUAAUUGUGACAAAUAUACCAUAUUAAUAUAAGAUGUUACUAACAGAGGAAACUGUGUGGGGUACACAGGAUCUCUCUGUACUAGUUCCUUAAUUUUUCUGUAAAUGUAAAUCUACUCCAAAAUAAAAAGUUUGUUUAAAAAAAAAGAAAAAGGAGGAGGAGGAGGAUGAAAAGAUGGAAAAAAUAAACUAGGGAGGCACCUUUUAGAGUUCUACUUCUCACAGCAAAAAGAACUACAAGUUAUUCCACUACCAAGAAGCUUGCAGGGUUAGCCACAAAACCAAUGAUAAGUAUUGUACCUGGGAAAAUAAUCAAUUAAUCUUUGCAAUUCUAGUCAGAUCAUACUGUUGGACACCACAUCAUAGCAAUGGCACAUGAUAGAUUACAACAAAUGCUAUUGUUUAAAAAUUAUCCAAAAUGUAGAAAUAAAGCAAAAGAAGAUUGCUCGUGCUUUCAAUAUCAUAUACCAGACCAGCAUCUAUCAGGCCCAUCAAGCAUUAUUUCAUUUUUUAAAAGAUGGACUCUUGUUGAUUAACUACUUUCUGUUAAUUAAAGCCAAGACUCUGAAGUCACGUGUUAACUUGUAGAUUUUUGUCUAAUGGAGAUGCAAAACAUUAACUAGUUAUAUCUCUGACUUAGCAAAUUUAUUUUGGUAUUCCUUUCCUAAUAGACUGUGUAAUCUUUUUUUUCUCUAAUUUUUCUUUCAAUCAUUCUGUGCACGUUGCUGGUUUCCUCAUCAAUAAAUCAACAGCUCAUUGACACACAUUUGCUUUAUAUUUGUAUGAGUGUAAUGUUUUUAACUUUUUUUUAAAAAAUAUGCUUUUAUCGUGCAUGUUCAAGGAGCUAUUUUGUGUUGCAAUUAGAUGACAUAGAUCACUGGUAUUUGAUCAUGCAUGUUUGCAGUACAUAUAUGAGAAGAAGCUCUUGGUGGCUUCUGUUUAUCAAAGCAGUUCUUUAAUCAAAGUUUUUAAAACCAAAAACUGAAACUAAGACCUAAAGUUUCUUUAAACUAGAAAACCUAGAUAUGUCAUGAAGAUAGCCACUGCUACUCAAAUACAACUCGUACUUGGAAGCCAAUCCAUACAUUGCCUUUCUCUUAAAAAGCACUAAUUUACCAAAUAUAGAGCUCCUGACCUUGAUUCAGUGUUCACAAAAAUUGUAAAAAUUUUAAAUAUAAUCAAAUCAUGCCUACAGAGAAUGUGUAUUUUUAGCAAAUUGCACCAAGAAAUUGGCAGCAAGGACAAGAUUCUGCUUUUCCCUGUUGAACCAUCCUGGCUGCCAAAAGAAAAGGUUUUUGAAACAAAGAAAGAGCUUUAAAAAGUUUUUAUGACACCCGUGAUACCAGUGUGACAAAAUGUGCACAGGACUUUUUCUGUCCUCUGACAAUUUUAGAAUGAAGUCCCUGAGCUGAAAACAGAAAGUGUGAAGUGUUAUCAGAUUCCAAAAAGAGCUGCCCAGGAGAUGCCAAGAGAUGGAAGAAUUUGCCUGGAUCCCAUCAACUCACCACAGCCCUUCCUAUAUGUAAGAACAGGAACCAGAAAGAGAAGGGACCCUUCAGAAUCAGAGCCCAGGGCUACGGUUUUUUACUCUCCACCGCUGCCCAGGCUAAGAGUUACCUUCAGAGUUGGGCCCUCAGUCAUGCCUGCCCAAGUGCGGGUGGUGGCACCUCAAUCCCCGGCUAGACAGCUGCAUAGGCAGCUAACUUGCUUCUGUCUGCCCUGUGUGUCUCUCUAAGCAAGAGAAAAGAGAGGAAAGAGACAAGAGGCUAGAUGCAGGAUAGGCAGGAGCUGUCCGGGAGCCUCCUGCUCUCCGUAUCUCACAUGGCAGGGUGAGCAGGAUAAGUAGACACCGUGGGAGGGUGCCAGGCUUGGUAGCUUACUAAAGAAGGCUGUGGGCUGACCAUGAAGUGCAAGGAGGGGGGCAUCCCUUUGCGGGCAGGAGCUGGGGAGGGGCUUACCUAGGGGUGAAGCUGGAGUGACUCUGCCAAGCAAAGAUAAUGUGCGUGGUGAAGCCGCCUAUAGAGUCUCCUAAGGAACAAACCCGUGUCUCCAAAAUAGCCAGCCUCCUAUACAGAGCGCGUCUGCCGAGAGAGAAUGACAUUACACCAGUUAAACAAAACACCUUUGCCCCUCUUCUGUAAUUCCCUCUCUCCUUGUCCAAAGGUGGAAGCAAAAAGGAGAAGGGAAGGCGGACAUAAGAGAACAUAGAUUACACUCAAGUCUCACCUGCUGCCUGGCUGGUUCUGGGGAGCAAGAGAGGGGAUAUGAGGUUGAGUGAGUGAUUGAAGCUUAAAAUGAACCGGACCAGAGUGUGCUUUUAAAUAUCGCUUGAGUAACUGAAAGUAAGCAAAAAGCUACGGGAUUUGCCUAAAGCAUCUUUAAGUGAUGGAAAAGAGAGAUGCAACUAAUCAAGUUUGAAAGCAUUUUUAAUGUUAAGAAUGUGAUAUUAGGAUUUAUUAAGAUUCAGUUAUGGGACAAACAGCUCGAUUUUCAAGAGCUUCAUUUUCUCCAGGCAAUGAUUUACCUUUCUCAUCGAAGAGAGGAUCUUAUAUUGGCUAUGUUUUAAAGUCACAUUAAUAGGCUGUAACAGACUAUGAAGAAAUUCUUUUUAGAUUCAAGGUAACUAGAGACCAUUUGCCUCUCAUCAUAAUGAUCUACUAAACAUUUAUAUAGCACUGACUAUGUGCCAAGUACUGUCCAAGGUGCUUUGCUUAUAUUAACUCAAUAUAUAUAAAAAAUUAAAAUCCUCUGAUAUUGCUAUAUGUGAAAGUUCUUUACAAGCUAUAAAAUGCAGCAUAAUUAUCAGAGGAUAUUACCGAUAUUAUAAGAAUAACAAUUACUAAGAUAACAAGAAUGUUUCCUUGUUUCAGAAGUCAAUUGGUGUUGAUGGGAAUUUAAGAAAAAAAUGUCCAGUGCAGCAUAUUCUUUCAUCACAACAUACCCCAUUCCUUCUCCAACAGGCAACCUCAUGGAGACCAUGGACCCCUCUGCCAUCCCACCCAUCUUUGAACCAAUGCAAACUGUCUUCAGAACUCAUGCCCUUACAUAAACAGGCUCUACAGGCAGAUCACCUGAGGUUGAAAGGUGAAGCCACCUGGACUUCUGGGUCCAGUAGAGACUUGGAGAACUUUUCUGUCUUACAAAAGGAUUGUAAAAUGCACCAAUCAGCACUCUGUAGCUAGGAUUGUAAAACGCACCAGUGUUCUGUAGCUAGCUAGAGGUUUGUAAAAUGCACCAAUCAGUGCUCUGUAGCUAGCCAGAGGUUCGUAAAAUGCACCAAUCAGUGCUCUGUAAAAACACACCAAUCAGUGCUCCGUAGCUAGCUAGAGGUUUGUAAAAUGAACCAAUCAGCACUCUGUAAAAUGGACCAAUCAGUGCUCUGUAAAAUGGACCAAUCAGCACUCUGUAAAAUGGACCAAUCCACUCUGUAAAAUGGACCAAAUGGGAGGGGACAACUCAGGGAAUAAAAGCUGGCCACCCCAGCCCUCAGCGGUAACCUGCUUAAGUCCCCUUCCAGGCUGUGGGAGGUUUGUUCUUUCGUUCUCCACAAUAAAUCUUGCUGCUGCUCAGUCUUGGGGUCCGCAUCACCUGUAAGAGCUGUAACACUCACUGUGAAGGUCACGCUUCAUUCCUGAAAUCAGCGAGACCAUGAACCCACUGGAAGGAACAAACUCCGGACACAAGGGCAGGAGUUUGAGACCAGCCUGACCAACAGGGCGAAACACUGUGUCUACCACAAUUACAAAAAUUAGCUGGGCUUG